This 691-nucleotide ribosomal RNA is filed under the name uncultured bacterium. RNAcentral's name for it is "bacterial SSU rRNA". It matches the Rfam family "Bacterial small subunit ribosomal RNA", at positions 94 to 785 of the family's 1533-position model. The record is from RNAcentral.
AGUGGCGGACGGGUGAGUAACGCGUAGGAAUCUACCUGAUAGUGGGGGAUAGCCCGAAGAAAUUCGGAUUAAUACCGCAUAAUCUAUUCGUAGUAAAGUGGGGGACUUUCGAGCCUCACGCUAUCAGAUGAGCCUGCGUAAGAUUAGCUAGUUGGUAGGGUAAAAGCCUACCAAGGCUACGAUCUUUAGCUGGUCUGAGAGGAUGAUCAGCCACAUCGGGACUGAGACACGGCCCGAACUCCUACGGGAGGCAGCAGUGGGGAAUAUUGGACAAUGGGGGCAACCCUGAUCCAGCAAUACCGCGUGUGUGAAGAAGGCCUGAGGGUUGUAAAGCACUUUCAAUUGUGAAGAAAAGCUAGUGGUUAAUAGCCAUUAGCCUUGACGUUAACUUUAGAAGAAGCACCGGCUAACUCCGUGCCAGCAGCCGCGGUAAUACGGAGGGUGCAAGCGUUAAUCGGAAUUACUGGGCGUAAAGCGUGCGUAGGCGGUUUAUUAAGUCAGAUGUGAAAGCCCCGGGCUUAACCUGGGAACUGCAUUUGAAACUGGUCAACUAGAGUAUGGUAGAGGAAAGUGGAAUUUCUGGUGUAGCGGUGAAAUGCGUAGAUAUCAGAAGGAACAUCAAUGGCGACGCACUUUCUGAACAUUACUGACGCUGAGUACGAAAGCGUGGGUAGCAAACAGGAUUAGAUAC